GAUGAUUUGACGAAAGAAAAUCUGUCUUAGCCUAUUUUAAAAAAAAUUAACCUAGAAGUUAAAAGGCUUCUAUUUCCUAAAGGGACGACAAGACCCUAUAAAGCUUUAUUUAUAAUAUUUUUAUUUACUUCAAUAAAAAAUAUAAAUUUAUAAAUUCUAUUGGGGCGAUAGAUAAAUAAACAUUAUUGACUAUAACGUUUUUAACGAAAUUUAUAAAAUGUUUUUAAAACCUACAACAAGUUACUUUAGGGAUAACAGCAUAAUUUCUUUUUAGAGUCCUUAUCGACAAAGAAGAUUAUGACCUCGAUGUUGAAUUGAGUUACUAUUUUUAUGGAGAUAUAAAAAGUAGAAGUCUGUUCGACCCUUAAA
Molecule: ribosomal RNA, 369 nt
Filed under: Tylos sp. clade G MM-2013
Lineage: Eukaryota; Metazoa; Arthropoda; Malacostraca; Isopoda; Tylidae
Description: partial 16S large subunit ribosomal RNA
Rfam family: Bacterial large subunit ribosomal RNA (bases 52-369)
Source: RNAcentral